UCAGGAUGAACGCUGGCGGCGUGCCUAAUACAUGCAAGUCGAGCGAACGGACGAGAAGCUUGCUUCUCUGAUGUUAGCGGCGGACGGGUGAGUAACACGUGGAUAACCUACCUAUAAGACUGGGAUAACUUCGGGAAACCGGAGCUAAUACCGGAUAAUAUUUUGAACCGCAUGGUUCAAAAGUGAAAGACGGUCUUGCUGUCACUUAUAGAUGGAUCCGCGCUGCAUUAGCUAGUUGGUAAGGUAACGGCUUACCAAGGCAACGAUGCAUAGCCGACCUGAGAGGGUGAUCGGCCACACUGGAACUGAGACACGGUCCAGACUCCUACGGGAGGCAGCAGUAGGGAAUCUUCCGCAAUGGGCGAAAGCCUGACGGAGCAACGCCGCGUGAGUGAUGAAGGUCUUCGGAUCGUAAAACUCUGUUAUUAGGGAAGAACAUAUGUGUAAGUAACUGUGCACAUCUGACGGUACCUAAUCAGAAAGCCACGGCU
Molecule: ribosomal RNA, 491 nt
Filed under: Staphylococcus aureus
Lineage: Bacteria; Bacillati; Bacillota; Bacilli; Caryophanales; Staphylococcaceae
Description: bacterial SSU rRNA
Rfam family: Bacterial small subunit ribosomal RNA
Source: RNAcentral